RNAcentral lists this ribosomal RNA (469 nucleotides) under uncultured bacterium. RNAcentral's name for it is "partial 16S ribosomal RNA". It matches the Rfam family "Bacterial small subunit ribosomal RNA", at positions 28 to 507 of the family's 1533-position model. The record is from RNAcentral.
GACGAACGCUGGCGGCGUGCUUAACACAUGCAAGUCGAACGGAAAGGCCCUGCUUUUGUGGGGUGCUCGAGUGGCGAACGGGUGAGUAACACGUGAGUAACCUGCCCUUGACUUUGGGAUAACUUCAGGAAACUGGGGCUAAUACCGGAUAGGAGCUCCUGCUGCAUGGUGGGGGUUGGAAAGUUUCGGCGGUUGGGGAUGGACUCGCGGCUUAUCAGCUUGUUGGUGGGGUAGUGGCUUACCAAGGCUUUGACGGGUAGCCGGCCUGAGAGGGUGACCGGGCAAAAUGGGGUAUGAGAACCGGCCAGGACCCCGAGGGGGGGAAGAAGGGGGAAAUGGGGAAAGAGGGGGGGAGGCGGGAUGAAGCAACCCCGGGGGGGGAGGGGGGGCUUUGGGGUUGAAAACCUUUUGCGCCGGGGAAAAAGGGGGAGGGAGGGAAAUGGAAAAAGAAACACCGCCAAACUAGGCC